This 699-nucleotide small RNA is filed under the name Arabidopsis thaliana (thale cress). Its description in RNAcentral is "ATSL299780". Lineage: Eukaryota; Viridiplantae; Streptophyta; Magnoliopsida; Brassicales; Brassicaceae. The record is from RNAcentral.
UUUUUGAUAAAACAUGUUACAACGAUGAAAUAGAUUAAGAUGUCAAAGUUUAUGGUGACAAAAUAUUUUUUAAAAAGAGGGUAAAUAAGUUUAAGAUGAAUGUACGAGAUCAAAAGGUUAUCAGAGUAUGAACUUGUAUCUAUGAAACAACUUAACUUAAUAAAAUACAUAUCAAAUUCAAAAAGAGACAUUGACAAAUAAUAUAUCAUCGAUGUAACACAUCAACAACCACUACCACAAUACCAAAAACCCUGCUAAUUCUAAUAAGCAAUCUUUGUUACUCGAGAAAGUGAUAUAUACAUAUAUACAAUGAAAACCACUCUACGUAAUUAAUUUUUUGCCAUAACAAUAUAAAAAGAUUGUUGCAUACGUUUCUAUCAGUUUUUAUUUCACAUUUAAUCAUAUAUGAAGAACGGUAAUUAUACAAAUAGAGAAAUCAUAUUUAGAUAGAUAGGAGAAAGCUAAAUAGAUAAGGACUAUAAAGUAUAUACAUCAUAUAAUCUAACUAUUAUUACAAGUUAUAUCUCAAUAUCAAUAUGUUCUUCACCAUCGUUUGAUAGUGCAGUUCCGAAACAGUAAACCAUCGGCUGGCGGACUGGUCAACUGAAGCUGAUAACUCCCUUUUAGCCAAUAUGAAUAGUAAAUAAACCCAAGAACCACUUUCACUUUGAAUUUACAUAAUAACUUAAUAAAAGAAAA